Non-coding RNA from Trichosporon asahii var. asahii CBS 2479, 92 nucleotides. Lineage: Eukaryota; Fungi; Basidiomycota; Tremellomycetes; Trichosporonales; Trichosporonaceae. The record is from the annotation of a RefSeq genome assembly.
GCCUCGUUAUAUCAGUCGGUAGAUAGUGUGACUCUUACGCAAUUACAAGCCGAUUGAUCACACAGUCAUGGGUUCGAGCCCCAUACGAGGCU